RNAcentral lists this ribosomal RNA (443 nucleotides) under uncultured bacterium. Its description in RNAcentral is "partial 16S ribosomal RNA". It matches the Rfam family "Bacterial small subunit ribosomal RNA", at positions 338 to 795 of the family's 1533-position model. The record is from RNAcentral.
CCUACGGGAGGCAGCAGUGGGGAAUAUUGGACAAUGGGGGGAACCCUGAUCCAGCGACGCCGCGUGAGUGAAGAAGUAUUUCGGUAUGUAAAGCUCUAUCAGCAGGGAGGAAAGCACUGACGGUACCUGACUAAGAAGCCCCGGCUACCUACGUGCCAGCAGCCGCGGUAAUACGUAGGGGGCAAGCGUUAUCCGGAUUUACUGGGUGUAAAGGGAGCGUAGACGGCGAUGCAAGUCUGAGGUGAAAGGCGGGGGCACAACCCCUGGACUGCUUUGGAAACUGUAUGGCUGGAGUGCAGGAGAGGUAAGUGGAAUUCCUAGUGUAGCGGUGAAAUGCGUAGAUAUUAGGAGGAACACCAGUGGCGAAGGCGGCUUACUGGACUGUAACUGACGUUGAGGCUCGAAAGCGUGGGGAGCAAACAGGAUUAGAUACCCCUGUAGUC